RNAcentral lists this long non-coding RNA (228 nucleotides) under Elaeis guineensis (African oil palm). Its description in RNAcentral is "long non-coding RNA (EGUI_LNC035333)". The record is from RNAcentral. Lineage: Eukaryota; Viridiplantae; Streptophyta; Magnoliopsida; Arecales; Arecaceae.
GUUGGCGAAGAGGCAGCUGAGAGCACGGUGAGGGUGGAGGCCAGAAAGGCAGUCGGAUGAAGAUGUGGUGAGGGCAGAGCUGCAGAGCUUGGAGAUGAUAGAGCAUAAAUUUUUAUUUUUUAUUUUUUUAAAUAGAUCAUAAAUAUGUUGGAUUUUAUUAUUUUUAAAAGAAUUAUAAAUUGAUCAUAAAUAGAUCGGAUCGGAUAACCUAUUUAUUAAGUAGAUCGG